GUAGUCUCGCACAGAUGCAUAUCAAUAAGCGGAGGAAAAGAAACUAACAAGGAUUCCCUUAGUAACGGCGAGUGAAGCGGGAAGAGCUCAAAUUUGAAAUCUUCAAGGGUUCUACCUUUACGAAUUGUAGUUUAAAGAAGUGUUUUCUGUUGAGGAUUGAGUACAAGAGUUCCUUGGAAUAGGGACAUCAUAGAGGGUGAGAAUCCCGUAUUUGGUUACUUCAUUCUAACUUUGUGAUACACUUUCAAAGAGUCGGAUUGUUUGGGAAUGCAGUCCAAAAUGGGUGGUAAAUUUCAUCUAAAGCUAAAUAUUGGCGAGAGACCGAUAGCGAACAAGUACCGUGAGGGAAAGAUGAAAAGAACUUUGAAAAGAGAGUUAAACAGUACGUGAAAUUGUCAAAAGGGAAGCGUUUGACACCAGUGUUGUUUUCUCGAAAAUCAAUUAAAAAGAGUUUGAUUUUGUUGUGUAUUGACCUUAACAGCUUGCAUUUCAAUUUUCUUGCUUUUUUUAAUGCACUUUUCGUUUAACAAGUCAACAUCAGUCUCUUUUGUUGUAAAAAGGUCAGUUGGAAGGUGGCUUUCUUUUCGGAGAAAGUGUUUAUAGCCUUUGACUCCUGCAAUCGGAGAGACUGAGGUCUGCAGCGUAGAUCCUUCGGGGUUAGAUACAUUUGUGCUAAGUUAUAGCUUUUUAUAGACAACUUGUUGACUAUGAUUAGUCUUGUAGCUUACUCGCUUAUGCUAUUUUACCUACGCUUAGGAUGUUGAUGUGAUACUGCGAGCA
This 780-nucleotide ribosomal RNA is filed under the name uncultured Neocallimastigales. RNAcentral describes it as "partial large subunit ribosomal RNA". It matches the Rfam family "Eukaryotic large subunit ribosomal RNA", at positions 24 to 629 of the family's 3401-position model. Lineage: Eukaryota; Fungi; Neocallimastigomycota; Neocallimastigomycetes; Neocallimastigales. The record is from RNAcentral.